Molecule: long non-coding RNA, 1378 nt
Organism: Eriocheir sinensis (Chinese mitten crab)
Lineage: Eukaryota; Metazoa; Arthropoda; Malacostraca; Decapoda; Varunidae
Exons: 4
Source: RefSeq, a predicted model, not a curated record
AGUCGACCUACUGGUGCCGCGGAGUUGAGUCGCGCCGCUCUCUCCCUCCCGCGCUCACUGUUCCCGAGGCUCGCCGCGUCCCGUGUGCUGCUGUAGUGCCCAAGUGAUGCCCAGGUGACAGGCGUGGCGCAGGACCCUUGUGCUCUGAGCGUGGCACAAACGCCGCCAGCCGUGACGCCCCAGGUCUCGGCGGUGCGGGUGAAGGCGGCGGAGUGUCACGUGCUUUCAGGAGAGUAGCCACCACGACCUUUCCAAACCGAACCUCUUGGAAACGACCCUCUUGGAAUACAAACAAAGCCGGUGUGUGAGUUUGUGCGUGUGCGUGUGUCGUUCUCGGUGCUGAGUCAGUGUGUUGUUCGGUGCUGCAGUGCUUCAGAAGUGCUGUGAGUCAUCCAUCAGCCACAUAAGGAGUGAGUCGUGGGUGCGUGUGGUUGCUCCAAAUCCACCACCACCUACACCACCAACACUACCACCUCGAGCUCAUCUCAACCCCGCGAGCCAAGUUUCAGCAUCGGCAACACCAGCAUCACCACCAUCGCUAGCAUCAUCAGCAUCCGGGGAGUGAUAGUGCCGAACUCAGCACCGCCGCCACAGCACACCAGCACUCACCAUGGCGCCGGGCAAGCACCUCCGCAAGCCUGUGUGCUCGGAGUACAUUCGCAGACACAGCUUCCAGUCAGGAGGAUUCUUCGAUGGGACGCCGGGUUACUCGGGAUCUGAAGGUCAUGAUAGCGACGCGUGUGAGGAGGGGGCGGUGCUCCCCUCCGCCCCCCCAAUGGAGCACAUGGACCACUUCACCGGCUACGAGCAAGUCUCCUUCGAGGCAGGUAAGUACCCCCUGGCGUGUCUUAACCUCCCUCUCUUAUACCGCAGCCUCGCCUUAAAUAUACCGUUUUCCUUUUGCUCGUUUUCUCUUCCCGUGGCCAUGAGAGAAAAUGUAAAUGCGCGGGCAAGAAGGUGGACAACGGUAUUCUGUGUUAUUAUUACUUGUAUUCUCCACUCUUCUGCCCUGCAUUACUUAAUCCCAAGCCAAGACCGAAAGUUUAUAAAUGGGAUGUAGUUAAUUUAGUACAGACCUUCCCUUCUCACAGUACUAGACUAUGAUAAUGCUUUAAGAUGAUGGCGGUGUUCCAGAAAAUAGCAAGGAGAGGGACUUAAACGGCUUAGAACCUCCUCUGAAAUAUUAGUUGGUUAAAGGGAGGAAAAGGGAAGGGGAAAGAAGAGGAAGAAGAAGGAAGGGAGAGGUAGAGAAGAGAAGAGGGGAGAAGAGCGGAUGAGGAUGACGGUAAUAGAAUGGUCAUAAUGGAGAGGAAAUGAAGGAAAACAGAACAAGAAGGAAAGAGAGGAUGGAGAGAGAGAGAGGAAAAAGAAGAGGAGA